Molecule: ribosomal RNA, 254 nt
Filed under: uncultured bacterium
Lineage: Bacteria
Description: partial 16S ribosomal RNA
Rfam family: Bacterial small subunit ribosomal RNA
Source: RNAcentral
UACGGGGGGAGCAAGCGUUGUUCGGAUUUACUGGGCGUAAAGGGCGCGUAGGCGGUCAGCACAAGUCAGUUGUGAAAUCUCCGGGCUUAACUCGGAAAGGUCAACUGAUACUGUGCGACUAGAGUGCAGAAGGGGCAACUGGAAUUCUCGGUGUAGCGGUGAAAUGCGUAGAUAUCGAGGGGAACACCUGCGGCGAAGGCGGGUUGCUGGGCUGACACUGACGCUGAGGCGCGAAAGCUAGGGGAGCGAACAGG